AUUUAUGUAGUUUAAUAAAAACAUUACAUUUUCACUGUAAAAAUAAAACUAAUUUUCAUAAAUC
Molecule: transfer RNA, 64 nt
Filed under: Balta hwangorum
Lineage: Eukaryota; Metazoa; Arthropoda; Insecta; Blattodea; Pseudophyllodromiidae
Description: tRNA-Glu
Rfam family: tRNA
About the family: Transfer RNA (tRNA) molecules are approximately 80 nucleotides in length. Their secondary structure includes four short double-helical elements and three loops (D, anti-codon, and T loops). Further hydrogen bonds mediate the characteristic L-shaped molecular structure. tRNAs have two regions of fundamental functional importance: the anti-codon, which is responsible for specific mRNA codon recognition, and the 3' end, to which the tRNAs corresponding amino acid is attached (by aminoacyl-tRNA synthetases). tRNAs cope with the degeneracy of the genetic code in two manners: having more than one tRNA (with a specific anti-codon) for a particular amino acid; and 'wobble' base-pairing, i.e. permitting non-standard base-pairing at the 3rd anti-codon position.
Source: RNAcentral